UUGGGGGGGUGCCUAAUACAUGCAAGUCGAGCGAACAGAGAAGGAGCUUGCUCCUUUGACGUUAGCGGCGGACGGGUGAGUAACACGUGGGCAACCUACCUUAUAGUUUGGGAUAACUCCGGGAAACCGGGGCUAAUACCGAAUAAUCUAUUUUACUUCAUGGUGAAAUACUGAAAGACGGUUUCGGCUGUCGCUAUAAGAUGGGCCCGCGGCGCAUUAGCUAGUUGGUGAGGUAACGGCUCACCAAGGCGACGAUGCGUAGCCGACCUGAGAGGGUGAUUCGGCCACACUGGGACUGAGACACGGUCCAGCUUCCUACGGGA
Molecule: ribosomal RNA, 323 nt
Filed under: Lysinibacillus sphaericus
Lineage: Bacteria; Bacillati; Bacillota; Bacilli; Caryophanales; Bacillaceae
Description: bacterial SSU rRNA
Rfam family: Bacterial small subunit ribosomal RNA
Source: RNAcentral